This 481-nucleotide ribosomal RNA is filed under the name uncultured bacterium. RNAcentral's name for it is "partial 16S ribosomal RNA". It matches the Rfam family "Bacterial small subunit ribosomal RNA", at positions 28 to 507 of the family's 1533-position model. The record is from RNAcentral.
GAUGAACGCUGGCGGCGUGCUUAACGCAUGCAAGUCGAACGAAGCAUUUAAGACAGAUUACUUCGGUUUGAAGUCUUUUAUGACUGAGUGGCGGACGGGUGAGUAACGCGUGGGUAACCUGCCUCAUACAGGGGGAUAGCAGCUGGAAACGGCUGGUAAUACCGCAUAAGCGCACAGUACCACAUGGUACAGUGUGAAAAACUCCGGUGGUAUGAGAUGGACCCGCGUCUGAUUAGCUUGUUGGCGGGGUAACGGCCCACCAAGGCGACGAUCAGUAGCCGACCUGAGAGGGUGACCGGCCACAUUGGGACUGAGACACGGCCCAGACUCCUACGGGAGGCAGCAGUGGGGAAUAUUGCACAAUGGAGGAAACUCUGAUGCAGCGACGCCGCGUGAGUGAAGAAGUAGUUCGCUAUGUAAAGCUCUAUCAGCAGGGAAGAUAGUGACGGUACCUGACGAAGAAGCUCCGGCUAAAUACGUG